This 591-nucleotide long non-coding RNA is filed under the name Salmo salar (Atlantic salmon). Its description in RNAcentral is "lncRNA (ENSSSAG00000110022.1)". Lineage: Eukaryota; Metazoa; Chordata; Actinopteri; Salmoniformes; Salmonidae. The record is from RNAcentral.
AGAUGCUAACAGACAGACAAGGCGGAGAUGAGUAGCCGAGACGCGCACAGACAGACAAGGUGGAGAUGAGUGGCCGAGAUGCGCACGGACAGACAAGGCGAAGAUGAGUGGCCGAGACGCGCACGGACAGACAAGGUGGAGAUGAGGGGCCGAGAUGCAAACGAACAGACAAGGUGGAGAUGAGGGGCCGAGAUGCUAACAGACAGACAAGGCGGAGAUGAGUGGCCGAGACGCUAACAGACAGACAAGGCGGAGAUGAGUGUCCGAGACGCGCACGGACAGACAAGGCGAAGAUGAGUGGCCAAGACGCGCACGGACAGACAAGGUGGAGAUGAGGGGCCGAGAUGCUAACAGACAGACAAGGCGGAGAUGAGUGGCCGAGACGCUAACAGACAGACAAAGGCGGAGAUGAGUGUCCGAGACAGCGCACGGACAGACAAGGUGGAGAUGAGUGGCCGAGACGCUAACAGACAGACAAGGUGGAGAUGAGUGGCCGACACGCAGCGGACAGAGAAAGGCGGAGAUGAGUGGCCAAGACGCGCACGGACAGACAAGGCGAAGAUGAGUGGCCGAGAGCGCCACGGACAGACA